This 447-nucleotide ribosomal RNA is filed under the name uncultured bacterium. RNAcentral's name for it is "bacterial SSU rRNA". It matches the Rfam family "Bacterial small subunit ribosomal RNA", at positions 355 to 825 of the family's 1533-position model. The record is from RNAcentral.
UCGGGAAUUUUGGGCAAUGGGCGAAAGCCUGACCCAGCAACGCCGCGUGAAGGAUGAAGUAUUUCGGUAUGUAAACUUCGUAAGAAUAGGAAGAAUAAAUGACGGUACUAUUUAUAAGGUCCGGCUAACUACGUGCCAGCAGCCGCGGUAAUACGUAGGGACCAAGCGUUGUUCGGAUUUACUGGGCGUAAAGGGCGCGUAGGCGGCAAUUCAAGUCAUCUGUGAAAUCUCCGGGCUUAACUCGGAACGGUCAGAUGAUACUGCUUUGCUAGAGUGCAGAAGGGGCAAUCGGAAUUCUUGGUGUAGCGGUGAAAUGCGUAGAUAUCAAGAGGAACACCUGAGGUGAAGACGGGUUGCUGGGCUGACACUGACGCUGAGGCGCGAAAGCCAGGGGAGCAAACGGGAUUAGAUACCCCCGUAGUCCCUGAGCGGGCUGGCAAGGCGCAU